This 465-nucleotide ribosomal RNA is filed under the name uncultured bacterium. RNAcentral describes it as "partial 16S ribosomal RNA". It matches the Rfam family "Bacterial small subunit ribosomal RNA", at positions 338 to 795 of the family's 1533-position model. The record is from RNAcentral.
CCUACGGGGGGCAGCAGUGGGGAAUAUUGCGCAAUGGGCGAAAGCCUGACGCAGCGACGCCGCGUGAGGGAUGAAGGUCUUCGGAUCGUAAACCUCUGUCAGCAGGGAAGAACGGUCACUGUGCUAAUCAGCAGUGAAUUGACGGUACCUGCAAAGGAAGCACAGGCUAACUCCGUGCCAGCAGCCGCGGUAAUACGGAGGGUGCGAGCGUUAAUCGGAAUUACUGGGCGUAAAGCGCUCGUAGGCGGUAUGUCAAGUCAAGGGUGAAAUCCCCGCGCUCAACGUGGGAACUGCCUUUGAAACUGGCAAACUGGAGUGUGUGAGAGGAUAGUGGAAUUCCAGGUGUAGGCGUGAAAGCCGUAGAUAUCUGGAGGAACAUCAGUGGCGAAGGCGACUAUCUGGCACAUAACUGACGCUGAGGAGCGAAAGCGUGGGUAGCAAACAGGAUUAGAUACCCUAGUAGUC